AGGCCCAAAUAUUUUUACCCAUCCCAAAAAACCAGACCCGACCCGCGUUACCCCAAACCCCUACCCUUUUAAUUGAAAGACCUAGACCUAAUCACAUUAGAAGAGGAGACCCCAAGUUAGAAAAAACGACGCCUGUUUGGAGCAGAAGAACUCCCUUCCCCUUCCUCCAUUUUUCUCCAAAACCUCACGCCAAAAAUUUCCUACCAGCCUACCCUCCUCUUUGGUUUUACAUCUCCCUUCACAAAAAUCACGCAUCUCACAUCUGAAGUUUUCUUCAUAUAGCCGAAACAUAAGCAAAAAAAAAAAAAAAAUUAAAAAAAUGAAGAUCUGAAAAGGAUUUCGAAGGAGAUUCCUCUUCCUGGAUCCGUAAAUAUUGUUGAAGGCCGAAUCCAUGGUUGUUCGCUGCUGAUUGUUGCUGUCUCGAACUGGAAUUUUGAUUUCUUAGCCUCGCUUUGGUUCAUUCCAGUUCAUCAUAGGCAAAUAGAAAUUGAAUUUGCGUUUUGCUGAGCUCCUACGCAGUUGAGGUUGCCGACGAGUCCCUUAUUGCUGGUUUAGCUUGGUUGAGUUUUCUCGUCAAAAUUCCAGCUUUGUAAUACAGAAAUUUUCCUAUAUAAAAGCAUUUAUUUGGUUUCAGUUGCUGCUAUCUUCAGUUUAGCCGCUGUAUGAACAUCUUCUUUGCUCAAAUAGUGACAUAUUGCUUGCUUUGAGGAUUUUACCAAAGUUUGUUGAAGCUCCUAAGUUUCAUCGGCCAAAGCUCAGUCAAAACCGAACCCUCAACAACUUUUAAGGGAUUGGCAACGUAGGCUCCGACAAGAAUGUCGGAAUAUUGAACGUCAAAUCCGAGAUAUACAAAGAGAGGAGAAGAAUGUGCCGAAAGCAAUUAAAGAAGCUGCAAAGAGAAAUGAUAUGGGUUCUGCCAAGCUAGAUUUGAGCCGUCUGGAGGUUGUUUCACAUGAGAAGGUCAUUUUAAAGUAUCAAUCUAGCUUUUUGAGGUAAGUAUCGAUUCAUGUUCUACCUUUGUUGCCAAUAAACUCUUAUGUGCCUUAAUUGAAGUUGUCGCCUCUUUUAUUGCCAUGCUUUGCUUUCCGUAAUUGCUUAAACUUAAUUGAAGUUAUUGAUGGUUGUCCUUUCCGUGAUUGCUUAACCUUAGUUGAAGUUUUGUUAUCCCUUUCAUUGUUGACUUAUCUGUAUUUGGAAUAUGUGAUUCAUUCUAUCUCUCUUAUCGUCGAGUUUUACUUAUGAGGAACCGUUGUUACACAUUAUCUCUCCCCUUGUUAAGCUAUUCUUGUUGAAAUCAUUAUUACCUGUGGUGUCUUUCAUUGUGAGCUCAUUCUUCCGUUUCUUGUGUUCUGGAGUUCUUAUGUUGAUUUACUUAUCGUACUAUCGUGUAUUGCUGGUUCUAUUGUUGUACUCAGUAUUGUUGAUGCGAGGGCUAUGCGUGAUUAGUAUUGGGAUUGUUAUGAAGAAAUAUUGUGCAUAUGGGCACAUGUGGUGAAGGUAACUAUAUUGUGUUUCUAUAUUUUGGCAUACAUGGUAUAGUUAAGAGGCUUGUCGGGGUGUUCACACGUGAGUUGUCCGUGCUAUUGUUAUUACUGAUAUUGCACAUGUGACGUGACAAGGCGAGCUCUCUCUUUCUCUCUCUAUAUAUGUAUGUGUGUGUGUGUAUAGGUUUGUGCAUGUGGCGAAACAAGGUGGGAAUAUUAUUAUGCGCGUGUGGCUAGACAAGGUAAGCAUUUACUUUAUUGUUGCGCACGUUGCGAGACAAAGUGGCUAUGUCGAGAAUGAUUUGUGAUGACUUGUGAUAGCCUGGGGGUAGUGUUAUUGAUGAUAUUUGUGUAGUGGUGUGCCUACCUUGUGUGAGUUAUACAUUGUAUAUUUUGUGAUGAUUGUUUCCUAUGUACCAUUGUCUCUACUCUUUCUUGUUGACUUGAGUUGUGAUAGAACACUUGCACAAGCAUACACGUAAUUAAUCACCUAUACCGAUUUAAGAAGAUGAAUUCUGAUGUUAUUGACCAUUUACAUGUACUCUCGUUUACUUGCUUUCUGUGUAAGAGUUAUUUUAUUGGCACGUGAGUUGUCUGUGCGGUAAUGAGUCAUUGUUAUUGUUGGUACGUGAGUUCUCCGUACGGUCAUGAGUCAUUAUUAUUGUUGGCACAUGAGUCGUUCGUGCUGUUAUGAAUUUGUAAUGUGGGCACGAGAUGCCAAAUUUUUAGGGUUCAUGAAUUGGGACCCGUGAAGUGCGACUAUGAGGUGAAGUAUCUCGGGGAAAUCCUUGAGCAAAUCUUGUGUGAAAGCGGUUGCUCUUAUUGAGUUAUUACCUGUUUGUCCCUGUUGCUAAUCGUUAUUUCUAGUAUUUUAUUGCGAGUAUUGUUUUGUUGUCUUGACCAUGCUUAGUUUUAUAUUGAUAUUGUUUUCCUGCUAGUUUCACAUUUAUACUUGUACAUGUUAUUUAGUGUAGUAGGUGUCUUGACUGUCCCUUGUCACUAUUUCACCGAGGUUAGUCUUGAUACUUAUUGGGUACCACUAUGGUGUAAUCAUGCUACGCCUUUCUGUAUAAAUUUGUGCAGAUCCAGGUACCUCGGAGUUGGUUGAUACCUAGUUAGCGGUUCGAGCUUUGCUGCAGAGACUCAAGGUAUACCUGCCGUCGCGUUCGCAGGCCUCAGAGUCACCUUCUAAUCUUGUACUUAUACUGUCUAUUUCUUUUUUGAAACAAUUAUACUUAGAAUAUUUUUCUAGUUUCAGUAGAGUUUAUGACUUGUACUACCGGUUUUGGAUAUUGUAAUGCUCUCGGGGUUAUUGGUUUACUAUAGAAAUUUCAGUUCCAUGCUUAA
Non-coding RNA from Nicotiana tabacum (common tobacco), 2831 nucleotides. The record is from RefSeq and is a predicted model, not a curated record. Lineage: Eukaryota; Viridiplantae; Streptophyta; Magnoliopsida; Solanales; Solanaceae.